This 87-nucleotide microRNA precursor is filed under the name Medicago truncatula (barrel medic). Its description in RNAcentral is "MIR2617 microRNA precursor family". It matches the Rfam family "MIR2617 microRNA precursor family". Lineage: Eukaryota; Viridiplantae; Streptophyta; Magnoliopsida; Fabales; Fabaceae. The record is from Rfam by way of RNAcentral.
AAGUAGUGUGACAUGCCCGUUUGGGAUAUACUUUGAUGUAUUAUUUAACAUUUAAUUACUUUUGGAUAAUGGGGUGUUACAACAACC